GCCCGAGUGGUGGAAUUGGUAGACACAAGGGAUUUAAAAUCCCUCGCUCGUAAGAGUGUGCCGGUUCAAGUCCGGCCUCGGGUACCA
RNAcentral lists this transfer RNA (87 nucleotides) under Colwellia sp. MB02u-6. RNAcentral describes it as "tRNA-Leu". It matches the Rfam family "tRNA". Rfam says of the family: Transfer RNA (tRNA) molecules are approximately 80 nucleotides in length. Their secondary structure includes four short double-helical elements and three loops (D, anti-codon, and T loops). The record is from RNAcentral. RNAcentral also lists the same sequence under 1 other name. Lineage: Bacteria; Pseudomonadati; Pseudomonadota; Gammaproteobacteria; Alteromonadales; Colwelliaceae.